Molecule: small RNA, 472 nt
Filed under: Pan troglodytes (chimpanzee)
Lineage: Eukaryota; Metazoa; Chordata; Mammalia; Primates; Hominidae
Description: retained intron
Source: RNAcentral
GGCCACCAGAGCUUGGUGAAUAUUGGAACACCUGGCUGGUGCCCUGGAUUUGGUUCUGUUUGUAUCUUACAGCUAUGGGAUGAUGACUUGGGAGCACUAUGGGCCUGCCCCAUGGACAAAUACAUCCACAAGCGCUGGGCCCUCGUGUGGCUGGCCUGCCUACUCUUUGCCGCUGCGCUUUCCCUCAUCCUCCUUCUCAAAAAGGAUCACGCGAAAGGUGAGCGCUUCCCGGCUCCCCAUUCCCCUGGGGGAGGACCAGAGUGGCUGUGGGAGUUAUCCGAGGGAAAGCGGCGGCCGAGCUCACUGGCUGCCUCCGCCCCUCUCCCCUAACAGGGUGGCUGAGGCUCUUGAAACAGGACGUCCGCUCGGGGGGUGAGUGGGAGCAAGCGCUGGGCGGAGGGCCGCCCCCGGGGGGCCAGGCCUGUGCCAGCUCACCUCUUCCCUCCCCAUCUGUUUUCUCCGGCAGCGGCCG